GCCGACGAGCCCGGGAAGCCCAGUGUGUACGGGGAGGGGGGCGGGGCUAGAGCGGCCUUGACAACCAUUGGAUCGCCUCGGUUUCCCGCGAGGCGCCGGGGGAACCGGAAACGCCUCGGGUCCAGUGCGCAGGCGCAAGAGCCUCCCUAUGGUAUAUAAGGGAAGU
Non-coding RNA from Pteropus vampyrus (large flying fox), 166 nucleotides. The record is from Rfam. Lineage: Eukaryota; Metazoa; Chordata; Mammalia; Chiroptera; Pteropodidae.